This 2237-nucleotide long non-coding RNA is filed under the name Gossypium barbadense (sea-island cotton). RNAcentral describes it as "long non-coding RNA (GBAR_LNC018834)". Lineage: Eukaryota; Viridiplantae; Streptophyta; Magnoliopsida; Malvales; Malvaceae. The record is from RNAcentral.
ACACAUGGAAAUAGCACAUAGUGAUAUAGACACACGUAUAAUUGCCCAUGGUGAAUCUCGAACCUAUAUACUCAAGACUCAAGGUCUCCGCCUUUGCCAACUGUGCCAAGACGGCAAAGCCUCAUUGGCAACCUAACCCAUUUUUCAAAUCUCAGUUAUUUAGUUAAAUGCCUAAAACCAUGAAUUGAAUCCAAUAAACUACCAUUAGAGGGAAUAUGCCAUAUACAUAUAUCAAGGUUCCAUUUUUCUUUUGCAUGUAGGGAACUCAAAGCCAUUGCACAAAUUCCCCCGAAAAUCAUCAUUUGGCACACAAAAGCAGUAUUAUAACAGAGUUUAGAGCGUGGUCAUACAAUAAAAUAUGCAACACUAAGUAAAAACAUAUACAUACAAAAUGUCCCAAACAUCACUUGGCAAAAAACCCGUGUAAAGGUAUCAACCGUAUCUCAAAUCUAAGUUCUUGAGCUAAGAGCCUAAAACCCAUUUAAAUGAUACAAAAAAUACACACACAAACACACACAUAUAAUGAAAAACAGCUCAAAUGGAUUAAAACUAUAUAAGAUGCCAUCAGAGGGAAUGUGUAUUUUUUUUUUCAAAGUCCCAUUUUGGUUUCGCAACGAAGGAACUCAAAGCCCUUGCGCAAUUUUCCCAAAAAUCAUCACUUGGCAUUAUCAAAGUUCAGAUUUUUUAACAAUCAUAGCAAAUAAGGAAUAAACAGACUGAUAAAAGAGAAUACUUUAGAGGAGAAUAGUCGAAGGAGGCGGCAACCAUAGAAAAGUGAGCAAGGAAAACAAAACAAGAAACUUUUAACCUAAUUUACAACCAAAGGCUUGAUGGGAUAUUACUCAGGGUAAAUUACAUCUAAUAUCACCAAAUUAUUAAUAAGUUUAUAUUUUGGUCACCCAACUUCAAAAAGUUACAAAAUAGCUACUUAACUAUUUAAAAGUUUUCUUUUAAGUCAUUGAACUUUUAAAAUCGUUAUUAUAUGGCUUUCUCUCUUCGCACCACUUACACCAAUCGAAAGCUCUCAUUUUUUUCUCUAUUCUGGAAUUCAAUUUUUCUCAUGAAACAACUUUAAACAUCACGAUUCUACGAAUCAAAAUCUAAAAACUUUCUUUUAUAAUCUCUAACAUUGACUGUCUAAUCGACUUGGAUCUAGGGUAUAUUAUUCUACUCGUUGAUAUAUACUAAUUCAUUGUAUCGAUAAUUAAAUUGUCGCUUGAAGAUCACUAAUUAGACUUAAAAAAUUAAUAGCUUAAUGACUUAAAUAAAAAUUUUUAAAUAAUUCAAUAAAAAAAUCAAAAUACAAUCUCUUAUAGGUACGCUCCAAAAUAAACCAAAAUAUUAUCUUUCAUUAAUAAGCUAAAGUAUGCUUAAAGUUGCUAAACUAUUAGUAAGUUUAGAUUUUGGUCAUUCAGUUUCAAAAAGUUAUAAAAUGACUGUAAUAGGCCAAUUUUAGCCUGGCUAAAAAAUUAUAUAAUAGCCUAUUACUAAACCCAGUUUUAAACCCAAUAGCACCCUGACUUAAUAACCAAAUUACAAGCCCAAUACCCAAACAACCCAAAUACCUAACCCACUAGCCUAAAACACAAAAAAAAAAAAAAAUGAACAGCAGAAACCUUUGGCAAAAAGCAGCGGAUCGGCGUCACCCUCGCCCCCACGUUGCAGCAAUCGUCUUCACGCACAAACGCAUAGCAACUGCCCACGUCGUCUCACCCACGUCUGGUAGCUUCGCACGAUGCCCGUACCUGCAACAAGCCAUGAACCACGAAUAGAAAUAAUAGCAGAAAUUACGACAAAAAGAGGAGAGUUUUUUUUGAUAGUUUCUUUCUCCGUUGUUUCGGCUAUAAAAAGGCCAAUCAAUCUCUGUAACAAGGUUAGCAAAUUUUUGUACCGAAAUCGAAAAGAAAAUAGACGAGAAAAACAUUUUUGAAGGUGACAGAUUUUGGCUUUGUUUCUUCUGUUCUUUUUACUGUUUUUAUUUUAUUUUAUUUUUUUCUUUUGUUUCUUAAAACAACAAAUAAACAAAAACGAGAAAGGGAGUAAAGAAAACUUACCGGUGUGGCGUCGUUGAAGCUCUUUCGUUUCGUCGCCAUUGGAGCAGGGGAGGAGUUUUCAGAGGGAGAGCAUUACGGCGCAAUAUCAAAGAAAGAAAGAAUGGUUUUUAGGGUUUAAAAAGGGGAUUUUUUAUUUGAUUUUAAGUUGAUGGGUUAUUUAUAAUUUAGGCCCUUCAUUUUUUU